Molecule: long non-coding RNA, 194 nt
Organism: Herpailurus yagouaroundi (jaguarundi)
Lineage: Eukaryota; Metazoa; Chordata; Mammalia; Carnivora; Felidae
Exons: 3
Source: RefSeq, a predicted model, not a curated record
AAACCACAAUGAGAUACUACCACUUUACACUUGUCAGAAUAGCUAGUUAAAAAAAGACAAGAAAUACUGGGGCACGUGGCUGGCUAAGUCAUUAGAGCAUGCUACUCCUGAUCUCAGAGUUAUGAGUUCAAACCCCACAAUGGGUGUAGAGCUUACUUAAAAUUAACAUCUAAGGGGUGCCUGGGUGGCUCAGU